CUACGGGCUGCUGCAGUGGGGAAUAUUGCACAAUGGGCGCAAGCCUGAUGCAGCCAUGCCGCGUGUAUGAAGAAGGCCUUCGGGUUGUAAAGUACUUUCAGCGGGGAGGAAGGGAGUAAAGUUAAUACCUUUGCUCAUUGACGUUACCCGCAGAAGAAGCACCGGCCAACUCCGUGCCAGCAGCCGCGGUAAUACGGAGGGUGCAAGCGGUAAUCGGAAUUACUGGGCGUAAAGCGCACGCAGGCGGUUUGUUAAGUCAGAUGUGAAAUCCCCGGGCUCAACCUGGGAACUGCAUCUGAUACUGGCAAGCUUGAGUCUCGUAGAGGGGGGUAGAAUUCCAGGUGUAGCGGUGAUAUGCGUAGAGAUCUGGAGGAAUACCGGUGGCGAAGGCGGCCCCCUGGACGAAGACUGACGCUCAGGUGCGAAAGCGUGGGGAGCAAACAGGAUUAGAUACCCUCGUAGUC
Molecule: ribosomal RNA, 464 nt
Filed under: uncultured bacterium
Lineage: Bacteria
Description: partial 16S ribosomal RNA
Rfam family: Bacterial small subunit ribosomal RNA
Source: RNAcentral